RNAcentral lists this ribosomal RNA (245 nucleotides) under Wolffia angusta. Its description in RNAcentral is "partial 26S ribosomal RNA". It matches the Rfam family "Eukaryotic large subunit ribosomal RNA", at positions 1 to 236 of the family's 3401-position model. Lineage: Eukaryota; Viridiplantae; Streptophyta; Magnoliopsida; Alismatales; Araceae. The record is from RNAcentral.
CUCGGACCGCGACCCCAGGUCAGGCGGGGCUACCCGCCGAGUUUAAGCAUAUAAAUAAGCGGAGGAAAAGAAACUUACGAGGAUUCCCCUAGUAACGGCGAGCGAACCGGAAAGCGCCCAGCUUGAGAAUCGGGCGGCCUUGCCGCCCGAAUUGUAGUCUGUAGAGGCGUCCUCAGCGGCGGACGGGGCGCAAGUCCCCUGGAAGGGGGCGCCGGAGAGGGUGAGAGCCCCGUCGCGCCCGGACC